Molecule: long non-coding RNA, 1771 nt
Filed under: Sus scrofa (pig)
Lineage: Eukaryota; Metazoa; Chordata; Mammalia; Artiodactyla; Suidae
Description: lncRNA (ENSSSCG00055016564.1)
Source: RNAcentral
CCAGGCCCGCCGCCUGCCUUGCAGCAAGUCUGUGGGCAUCUGCUGUUUUAUACAUCCACGUGCUCUCUGACUUGUGGUUUGCGGGGAGCUUGUGACUGUUUGCUCUCUUUUGUAGAACCAUCAUCUUCAUCUACCGCUGUGACAACCUACGACUAACUGGGAGGCUUAUAAAUAGAAGUUUAUUUCUUGCAAUUAUGUUACAAAGCUGCAAAGUCCAAGAUCAAGACUGCAGCAGACUCAGAGACUGGGUGGGACCUGCUUCCUGGGUCACAUAGAGCAGUUUCCUCUGUGUAUCCACAGGUGGCUGACUGGGGCCACACCCUGAGCAUAGAGAAGUUCCCCAUCCAGGGGCUGGAUCAGAGCUGCAGCCGCCAGCCUACGCCACAGUCACAGCAAUGCGGGAUCUGAGCUGUGUCUUCGACCUACGCCACAGUCAUAGCAACACUGGAUCCUCAACCCACUGAGCGGGGCCGGGGAUCAAACCCACAUCCUCAUGGAUACCAGAUGGUGACCAAAAAUCAACCCUGGCUCUAAGAGUGUGACCCACAAAGCAGCAGGUAACCAUUGAGAUCAGUGGCAUCUCAGGCAGGAGGGGAGCCUAAGGGUGGGUGCCGCCAGAAGCGGAUCUUGGGACCUCAGAGAGUGCAGGUGAUUUACCCAGGAGGCAUCCUGGAAGCACUCGCUUGGGCAUCUGAGAGGCAGGGAUUUCCAAGGCUGCCAGUAAAAGGUGAAGAAUGACCUCCCUGGGAGGUGAAGCGGAAAGCCUUGGGACACUGCCGCGGGAGACAGCGUGGAGCUUGUGCUCCGAGCUGCACCUCCCCGACCCGCAGCAGGGCAGGUGAGCUGGGGGACUAAUGCGCCCAACCUCAGUGCUCACUGGCUGAGAACGGCCCCUGGGGGCUUCCUGUCUGUUGGGUGUUCAAGAGAAAGCCCUCUGGCCAUGGGACACGACACUGGCGGUUGGAAGCCGGCGGUCUGUUUGGCAGUGGUGAGAUGAGAGGGGACACAGGUGCAGCACCAGCUGCGUCAGCUACAGAACCCUGCCCAUCUUGCGGGAAGGACACGUGCGUGGCCAUGAAGCUGGGACCUCAGAGAGACAUGAGCUGGGGGCGAGGGUCCAGCUCGGUCCUGCCCUGUCUGUGGCUUGGUCACCACACAGCUGUCCUCUGCUGGGAAAUCGGCCCCACGCCGGCCAGGACACCUCAGCUCUCCCCUUCCAGCACCAGCUCCCACGGCCACCUGCUCGGAGCCUGCACUGGAACGUGGUCCUGGGUGGUGGCCAUGGGGACAGUGUCCCCAGCAGGGAACGAUGGCUUCUCCAGCUCCCUCCCGAGAGUGUGUCUGAGAAAUGGGAGCCCCUCUGCACCCCAACGAUUCCCUAAGUCUGGGCUGCACUCCGGGGACCAAUCUUCCUGCUCUGUCAAAGGGCUUCUCUGCCCCCUUCAAGGCAGGCGCGCCCUGGGUUGGGAGGCUGGAACCCGCACUCCUGACCCCCUCCUCUGUCACCCCCACUGGAAUGAGCACUUCGGGGCUCGGACUAGAAGGAAGGGGAUUCUGCCGAGGGGACCAGCCCAGGGGCCCGCACGGAGCGCUAACAACGAAGGGCGCCACGUGCAACACUGAUGCGCUGACGAGACCAUUUGUCCCCCAUGGGGCGUGGGCACCCCGAGGGGCUAAAAAUAGUUCUGGGAGGAGGGCAUGAAAAAAAUCUCAGCUGUUAAUAGUGAUUUGUGUCCAUUCAAAGCUCAAAGCGAGCUGCUACCCACCAAAA